Oxyura jamaicensis (ruddy duck) is the source of this 357-nucleotide long non-coding RNA. RefSeq lists it as uncharacterized. NCBI's taxonomy places the organism in Eukaryota, Metazoa, Chordata, Aves, Anseriformes, Anatidae. The record is from RefSeq and is a predicted model, not a curated record. The transcript is spliced from 3 exons.
CCCAGAACUGAGCCCUGGGGGACUCCACUAGGGACCGGCCUCCAACUGGAUUUGACUCCAUUCACCAUGACUCUUUGGGCCCGGCUACUCAGCCGGUUUCUGACCCAACGAAGCAUACACCAGUCUAAGCCAUGAGCAGCCAGUUUCUCAAGGAGAAUGCUGUGGGAAACGGUGUCAAAAGCCUUACUGGAGUCAAGGUGGACUACAUCCAUAGCCUUUCUUUCAUCCACCAAGUGCGUCACUUUGUCAUAUAAGGAGAUCAGGUUCGUCAAGCAGGGCCUGCCUUCCAUAAACCCAUGCUGACUGGGCUUGAUUGCCUGGUUGCCCUGAAAGUGCCACGUGUCAAUCAAUUCCAGA